GCCUUUGUGGUCUAGUGGUCAGCACACUGAGCGUGUAUUCAGAGGCCCAUGGUUCGAAUCCGGGCGAGGGUG
This is a non-coding RNA of Stegodyphus mimosarum, 72 nucleotides long. Lineage: Eukaryota; Metazoa; Arthropoda; Arachnida; Araneae; Eresidae. The record is from Rfam.